UACGGAGGAUGCGAGCGUUAUCCGGAUUUAUUGGGUUUAAAGGGUGCGUAGGCGGACUGUCAAGUCAGCGGUAAAAUUGAGAGGCUCAACCUCUUCCCGCCGUUGAAACUGGUGGUCUUGAGUGGAUGAGAAGUACGCGGAAUGCGUGGUGUAGCGGUGAAAUGCAUAGAUUUCACGCAGAACUCCGAUUGCGAAGGCAGCGUACCGGCAUCCAACUGACGCUGAGGCACGAAAGCGUGGGGAUCAAACAGG
This 252-nucleotide ribosomal RNA is filed under the name uncultured bacterium. RNAcentral's name for it is "partial 16S ribosomal RNA". It matches the Rfam family "Bacterial small subunit ribosomal RNA", at positions 524 to 776 of the family's 1533-position model. The record is from RNAcentral.